GACGGAGGAUGCAAGCGUUAUCCGGAAUUAUUGGGCGUAAAGCGUCCGCAGGUGGCUGUUCAAGUCUGCUGUCAAAGCGCAGAGCUUAACUCUGUACAGGCGGUGGAAACUGAAGAGCUAGAGUAUGGUAGGGGUAGAGGGAAUUCCCGGUGUAGUGGUGAAAUGCGUAGAUAUCGGGAGGAACACCAGUGGCGAAGGCGACUACCUGGCCCAUUCUUGACGCUGAGGCGCGAAAGCUAGGGGAGCGAACGGG
Molecule: ribosomal RNA, 253 nt
Filed under: uncultured bacterium
Lineage: Bacteria
Description: partial 16S ribosomal RNA
Rfam family: Bacterial small subunit ribosomal RNA
Source: RNAcentral